Molecule: ribosomal RNA, 518 nt
Filed under: Centrolene sabini (Sabin's glassfrog)
Lineage: Eukaryota; Metazoa; Chordata; Amphibia; Anura; Centrolenidae
Description: partial 16S ribosomal RNA
Rfam family: Bacterial large subunit ribosomal RNA
Source: RNAcentral
AGCCUGCCCAGUGACUCUGUUCAACGGCCGCGGUAUCCUAACCGUGCGAAGGUAGCGUAAUCACUUGUUCUUUAAAUGAGGACUAGUAUGAAUGGCACCACGAAGGUUAUACUGUCUCUUCUUUCCAAUCAGUGAAACUAAUCUCCCCGUGAAGAAGCGAGGAUGUAAAUAUAAGACGAGAAGACCCUAUGGAGCUUUAAACCACGCAACACCUGCUUUGACUUAACNUAAAUUUCAGAAAACCCCUCUCCACCCCAGCAGAAUGAUUGCCAGUUUUAGGUUGGGGUGACCGCGGAGCAAAAAACAACCUCCACAUUGAAAGGGCACCUACCCNUUAGCCAAGAGCCACACCUCCACGCACCAAUAAAAUGACAUUAAUUGACCCAAUAUAUUGAUCAACGAACCAAGUUACCCUAGGGAUAACAGCGCAAUCCACUUCAAGAGCCCCUAUCGACAAGUGGGUUUACGACCUCGAUGUUGGAUCAGGGUAUCCCGGUGGUGCAGCCGCUACCAAAGGU